This is a long non-coding RNA of Talpa occidentalis (Iberian mole), 1748 nucleotides long. RefSeq lists it as uncharacterized. The record is from RefSeq and is a predicted model, not a curated record. The transcript has 4 exons. Lineage: Eukaryota; Metazoa; Chordata; Mammalia; Eulipotyphla; Talpidae.
UUUUUUUUAAUAUAUGUAGCUGGACAACUCAGCCAGUCAGCACAUUUAGCUCUUCAACUGCCAUACAAUGUACUUGGGUUAGGUCGAAGUGCAAAUUUUCUUGACCAUCUUUAUGUUGGUAUUCCCCGUCCAUCCGGAGAGAAGACUGUACGAAAACAAGAGUGGACUGCAAUCAUUCCAAAUUCCCAACUAAUUGUCAUUCCAUAUCCUCACAAUGUUCCUCGAAGCUGGAGUGCCAAACUGUACCUUACACCAAGUAACAUUGUUCUACUCACUGCUAUAGCACUCAUCGGUGUCUGUGUCUUCAUCUUGGCAAUAAUUGGCAUUUUACAUUGGCAGGAAAAGAAAGCAGAUGAUAGAGAAAAGCGGCAAGAAGCCCAUCGGUUUCAUUUUGAUGCUAUGUGACAUGCCUUUAACACUACAUAAUGGAGCGUCUAUUCACUUGAUUAACUGAAGUACUAAAUUUGGCUUAUAGAAGAAAUAGGGGAUUUUGGAUAUUAUUUAUAAAUGAUGCAUCCCUUGGUAAUUAUUGGAAAGUAUUCAAAUAAAUAUGGUCUGAAUGUAUCACAAGAUCUUUUUUUAAAGCACUUUGUAUACAAUAAUUUGGGUUCUUUAUUCAAUUGUGCUGUACAUUUUUGUUUCUUUGUGGAAUGUGUUGCAUGUACUCAGGUGUUUAUGUAUUUAUAAUCUUAUUAGAAUAAUGAUGAUGGGAAAAGACAUGUAAAUAAAAAUAUUUAAAUGAGCAGGAUUUUCUGUAUUCCACUUGAAUUAGUCUUGCUUCUUCUUCAAUGAUGCAAAUUAUACUUUUGUGAAUGUAUCACAGAUAAGGUUAUUAACAUUUACCUUCAUUAUAGCAGGUCUGGGGCCUCUCACUCACCACACUGGAUAUAAUGACGGGUGCUCUGGCUUUGGAAUCAUAGACAGACCGGCCUUAAACUUGUGGUUCUGCCACUUACAAGUUGAUUGAACUGGCUAAUUGCUUAACUUCUGUAAGCCUCAGUUUUCUUGUUUAUCCAAGGGAGCUAAUACAUAAGUUCACUUGAGUCACUGUAAGCAUUAAAUAGAAUGACAUAGGUAAAGUACUCGCUUGGUACCUGGCACAGCAUAAGUUGUCAAUCCAUGGUAGUAGUCAUCAUUCCUAUUUUUAGAAAACUUUUUACAGACUCUACAACUAAUUAUCAAAAAAUAUAAACUUGGGAUAAAUUUAUUAGGCCAAAGGAAAUCAUAUUCUUUGGAAAACCUAAAUUCUUGGUAGUUGACAACUUAAAGAUUUAUUGCUUGGCCAUAUUAGCUAAAAAAUAAUAGUACCCUCCAAGAAUUAACAUGCUCUAAAAUUUUUCAUUUGAACACUGAUAUGUGAUAAUGAAGAGAGUUUGAUAUGUUGAAAGGAUUCUGCUGUAGUCAGCAUCUGGGAAUGCAAAUCUUUCAUCACAUUUCUCAAAAGCUUGUAGGAGUCUAUAAUUUACAUUCAGAGUUCAAUGCAAAUUUUUGUGAACGUAACCUUGCCAAAAAGUGACUUUUAGACUUAAGUCUAAGAUUGGAGGGAAAAAAAGUUUAUACAUCAGUGUUAAUAAUUUUCUAAUAUGCAAAUGGACAUGUGAUGGCUGUAAAACAUAAAACUUAUCUGAAAACAGUUUUGUUCUUCAUGUUAUUUUCUUUACAGUUCACUGAGGAUGGCAUGUGUAAUAAGUGGUUACUUUGUGUAUCUAAGCAUGUUAAUGUCUUAAUAAAUACUCUUUACUGAAAAC